Molecule: ribosomal RNA, 473 nt
Filed under: uncultured bacterium
Lineage: Bacteria
Description: SSU rRNA
Rfam family: Bacterial small subunit ribosomal RNA
Source: RNAcentral
AGGACGAACGCUGGCGGCGUGCUUAACACAUGCAAGUCGAGCGGAAAGGCCCUUCGGGGUACUCGAGCGGCGAACGGGUGAGUAACACGUGAGCAACCUGCCCUUAGCUUCGGGAUAGCUCCGGGAAACCGGAAUUAAUACCGGAUAUGACUAUGGCCGACAUCAGCCAUGGUGGAAAGUUUUUCGGCUAGGGAUGGACUCGCGGCCUAUCAGCUAGUUGGUGAGGUAACGGCUCACCAAGGCGACGACGGGUAGCCGGCCUGAGAGGGCGACCGGCCACACUGGGACUGAGACACGGCCCAGACUCCUACGGGAGGCAGCAGUGGGGAAUAUUGCGCAAUGGGCGAAAGCCUGACGCAGCGACGCCGCGUGGGGGAUGAAUGCCUUCGGGUUGUAAACCCCUUUCAGCAGGGACGAAGCGAAAGUGACGGUACCUGCAGAGAAGCGCCGGCUACUACGUGCCAGCACGCCGC